This 513-nucleotide ribosomal RNA is filed under the name uncultured bacterium. RNAcentral's name for it is "partial 16S ribosomal RNA". It matches the Rfam family "Bacterial small subunit ribosomal RNA", at positions 28 to 523 of the family's 1533-position model. The record is from RNAcentral.
GAUGAACGCUGGCGGCGUGCCUAAUACAUGCAAGUCGAGCGAACAGAUGAGGAGCCUGCUCCUCUGACGUUAGCGGCGGACGGGUGGGUAACACGUGGAUAACCUACCUAUAAGACUGGGAUAACUUCGGGAAACCGGAGCUAAUACCGGAUAAUAUAUUGAACCGCAUGGUUCAAUAGUGAAAGACGGUUUUGCUGUCACUUAUAGAUGGAUCCGCGCCGCAUUAGCUAGUUGGUAAGGUAACGGCUUACCAAGGCAACGAUGCGUAGCCGACCUGAGAGGGUGAUCGGCCACACUGGAACUGAGACACGGUCCAGACUCCUACGGGAGGCAGCAGUAGGGAAUCUUCCGCAAUGGGCGAAAGCCUGACGGAGCAACGCCGCGUGAGUGAUGAAGGUCUUCGGAUCGUAAAACUCUGUUAUUAGGGAAGAACAAAUGUGUAAGUAACUAUGCACGUCUUGACGGUACCUAAUCAGAAAGCCACGGCUAACUACGUGCCAGCAGCCGCCGUAA